AAAAGCUUGCUUUCUUUGCUGGCGACCGGCGCACGGGUGAGUAACACGUAUCCAACCUACCCUUUACUCGGGGAUAGCCUUUCGAAAGAAAGAUUAAUACCCGAUAGCAUAAUGAUUCCGCAUGGUUUCAUUAUUAAAGGAUUCCGGUAAAGGAUGGGGAUGCGUUCCAUUAGGUUGUUGGUGGGGUAACGGCCCACCAAGCCUUCGAUGGAUAGGGGUUCUGAGAGGGAGGUCCCCCACAUUGGAACUGAGACACGGUCCAAACUCCUACGGGAGGCAGCAUG
This 284-nucleotide ribosomal RNA is filed under the name uncultured bacterium. Its description in RNAcentral is "partial 16S ribosomal RNA". It matches the Rfam family "Bacterial small subunit ribosomal RNA", at positions 74 to 353 of the family's 1533-position model. The record is from RNAcentral.